AAGCCGGGCGAACAACAGCAUGGUUUGGGAUAUUAUGAUAAUCCCAAUAGUCUGCCCGAUGGCGUUUCUCGUGAACAAUGGGCAAGCUAUGACAGCUCUUUCUCCGGUGAUUAUAUUGAAACCUGGAUGCAACGACUGGAAUUCAAUCCUAUUGAGGUUAACAACUAUAAAGCCGGUAAAUUCGUUGACUGGAUGGACCUAGUUUAUCAGAAUGGUUUGAGACAGGAUUACAAUGCCUCUGUUUCCGGUAAGACGGCAAGAACCAACUAUUAUGUGUCGUUGGGCUAUACUAAUAAUGAUGGUAUCGUAGUAGGUGAUCAAUUCCGUGCUUCAAGAUCGCGUGUGAAUUUGGAUACUGAGAUUACGAAAUGGUUGAAUAUUGGUUUGAAUGCGCAGUUCGUUCAUAAAGGCUCGGAUGAUAUUAAGGCAGAUACGGGCGCGGCUAAAGCAGCCAGCCCCUUUGGAGACGUUUAUGAGGCUGAUGGAAGUAUCAAGGUUAGACCUUGGGAUGACAACCGUAUUGCCAACCCAUUACUGAACCGUUCAGUGGACGAAAAAUACUACAGAACGCAGACGUUUAAUUCAAGCGUUUAUGGUAAGUUAACUCUUCCUUUUGGAUUUACCUGGCAGACAACUUUCAAUGUGCGUUACGGCUGGAGAAAGGAUUACUAUUUUGAUUCUGAUAUCAAGCCGGGUGUAGUAGCAGGUGGUAAAGCAAAACGUGUGGACUAUUCAGACUAUGAAUGGAGCAUUGAUAACAUGUUGAAAUGGAACCGUACAUUUGCUAAUAUACAUAAUUUCGACUUCACUUUUGUAUAUACUGCUGAAAAAUAUCAGAACUGGCAAAGUACGGGAAACAAUGAAGGUUUCCAGCCGAAUGGCGCACUGAGUUAUCAUGGUAUUCAGGCCGGUAUAACUCCUACUGUCAGUGCAAAUGACGAAAUGCAGACUGGUAAUGGUUUGUUGUGGCGCUUGAAUUACUCUUUGAUGGACCGUUAUUUGCUGACAGGUUCUGUACGUCGUGACGGUUUCUCAGCUUUCGGACAGAAUAAUCCUUUCGGUGUAUUUUCUACAGUUGCUGCCGGAUGGCGUAUAUCAGAAGAGAAGUUCUUGAAGGAUGUUGAAUGGAUUAACAACCUGAAGUUGCGUCUUUCCUGGGGACAAACCGGUAAUCGUGACAUCGGCCGUUAUGCUGCUUUCUCAAGAUUAACUAUUACCAACGUUAUUCAGGAUGGGGUAAACUAUAAAGGUGUAUAUCCUUCAAGUUUGGCUAACAGAGACUUGAAAUGGGAAACUACUACCGGGUUCAACUUCGGUGUUGACUUUGGAUUGUUCAAAAACAGACUGAGCGGUUCUGUAGAACUUUAUAAGAAUAAGACGAAUGACUUGUUGAUGGACCGUGCUAUGCCUGAAAUCUCAGGAUAUGGUAAGAUCGCUUCUAACCUGGGAGAAAUUGCUAACCAGGGGGCUGAGAGGAUCCUAAGACGAACGGGAGAAGCAUUGUUAAGGAACUCGGCAAAUUGACCCCGUAACUUCGGAAUAAGGGGUGCCUAUGUAAAAGUAGGCCGCAGAGAAUAGGCCCAAGCAACUGUUUAACAAAAACACAGGUUUCUGCUAAAUCGAAAGAUGAAGUAUAGGAGCUGACGCCUGCCCAGUGCUGGAAGGUUAAGGGAAAGAGUUAGGGUUAAACCGAAGCUUAGAACUGAAGCCCCAGUGAACGGCGGCCGUAACUAUAACGGUCCUAAGGUAGCGAAAUUCCUUGUCAGGUAAGUUCUGACCCGCACGAAAGGCGUAAUGAUUUGGGCACUGUCUCAACAGCCCGCCCGGCGAAAUUGUAGUACCGGUGAAGAUGCCGGUUACCCGCGACAAGACGGAAAGACCCCAUGGAGCUUUACUGUAGCCUAAUAUUGGGUUUCGAUGUUGCAUGCACAGGAUAGAUGGGACACAGGGAAACAGAAGCUUUGGCUUCUGCGGAGUGGCCGUUGGGAUACCAUCCUUGCGAUAUUGGAAUUCUAACCUGCGGCUCUGAAUCGAGUCGGGGGACAUUGUUAGGUGGGCAGUUUGACUGGGGCGGUCGCCUCCUAAAAAGUAACGGAGGCGUUCAAAGGUUCGCUCAGCUUGAACGGAAAUCAAGCAAAAGAGUGCAAACGCAGAAGCGAGCCUAACUGCGAGACUGACGGGUCGAGCAGUAACGAAAGUUGGAGUUAGUGAUCCGGUGGUAUGUGAGUGGAAAUGCCAUCGCUCAACGGAUAAAAGUUACCCUGGGGAUAACAGGCUGAUCUCCCCCAAGAGUCCACAUCGACGGGGAGGUUUGGCACCUCGAUGUCGGCUCAUCGCAUCCUGGGGCUGUAUUCGGUCCCAAGGGUUUGGCUGUUCGCCAAUUAAAGCGGCACGCGAGCUGGGUUCAGAACGUCGUGAGACAGUUCGGUCCCUAUCUGUUGCGGGCGUAAGAGAUUUGAAGGGAGCUGUCCUUAGUACGAGAGGACCGGGAUGGACGUACCUCUGGUGCACCAGUUGUCCUGCCAAGGGCAUAGCUGGGUAGCUAUGUACGGACGAGAUAAACGCUGAAAGCAUCUAAGCGUGAAACUCUCCCUAAGAUGAGAUCUCUCAUCCUUUAUGGAGUAAGGGCCCAGAAAGACGAUCUGGUUGAUAGGCCGGAGGUGGAAGUGCAGUAAUGUAUGCAGCUGACCGGUACUAAUAGCCCGAGGGCUUGACCU
This 2717-nucleotide ribosomal RNA is filed under the name human gut metagenome. RNAcentral's name for it is "bacterial LSU rRNA". The stretch from base 1235 to 2717 matches the Rfam family "Bacterial large subunit ribosomal RNA". The record is from RNAcentral.